RNAcentral lists this unclassified non-coding RNA (243 nucleotides) under Hevea brasiliensis (rubber tree). Lineage: Eukaryota; Viridiplantae; Streptophyta; Magnoliopsida; Malpighiales; Euphorbiaceae. The record is from RNAcentral.
GAGGAAAUGGAGUAGCAGCUACAGGCACUGGACCAAAUGCUAGCUAUGGACUUGGCCAAUGCUAUGGUGAUCUUUCAUUAUCCGACUGUGUCUUAUGUUUCUCUGAAGCGCGAACCGUCUUUCCCCAGUGCUUCCCUAGUAACAAGGCGCGAAUUUAUCUUGAUGGCUGCUUUAUGCGAGCGGACAAUUACAAUUUCUAUGACCAGUAUUUUGGUCCAGAGGACAGGCAUGUGUGCGGAAACA